AACCAUUCUCACCUGCGGCUAGACCUGCGGAAGGAUCAUUACCAAUUAUAUAUGUUAGUUUGCCUGUGGCUUCGGUCACUGGUAUUAACUAUUAUGUAAACGUUGAACUAGAUCAAUUGGUGUGGAUUGCUUGGGAAUGGACGAAGCGACAAGCCUCUUCCGGACAGGCAAGCCCCACACUGAUAACCUUUUUCAUAUCAUUUACUCGUACAUACUACAAACAACAAAAAAUCUUAUACU
This 240-nucleotide unclassified non-coding RNA is filed under the name soil metagenome. Its description in RNAcentral is "partial contains 5.8S ribosomal RNA, internal transcribed spacer 2, and large subunit ribosomal RNA". The record is from RNAcentral.